UUAACCNUAGUACGCUUUGGAAACUGUUUAACUUGAGUGCAGAAGGGGAGAGUGGAAUUCCAUGUGUAGCGGUGAAAUGCGUAGAUAUAUGGAGGAACACCGGUGGCGAAAGCGGCUCUCUGGUCUGUAACUGACGCUGAGGUUCGAAAGCGUGGGGAGCGAACAGGAUUAGAUACCCUGGUAGUNCACGCCGUAAACGAUGAGUGCUAGGUGUUAGGCCCNUUCCGGGGCUUAGUGCCGCAGCUAACGCAUUAAGCACUCCGCCUGGGGAGUACGACCGCAAGGUUGAAACUCAAAGGAAUUGACGGGGGCCCGCACAAGCGGUGGAGCAUGUGGUUUAAUUCGAAGCAACGCGAAGAACCUUACCAGGUCUUGACAUCCCGAUGCCCGCUCUAGAGAUAGAGUUUUACUUCGGUACAUCGGUGACAGGUGGUGCAUGGUUGUCGUCAGCUCGUGUCGUGAGAUGUUGGGUUAAGUCCCGCAACGAGCGCAACCCUUAUUGUUAGUUGCCAUCAUUCAGUUGGGCACUCUAGCGAGACUGCCGGUAAUAAACCGGAGGAAGGUGGGGAUGACGUCAAAUCAUCAUGCCCCUUAUGACCUGGGCUACACACGUGCUACAAUGGCUGGUACAACGAGUCGCAAGUCGGUGACGGCAAGCUAAUCUCUUAAAGCCAGUCUCAGUUCGGAUUGUAGGCUGCAACUCGCCUACAUGAAGUCGGAAUCGCUAGUAAUCGCGGAUCAGCACGCCGCGGUGAAUACGUUCCCGGGCCUUGUACACACCGCCCGUCACACCACGAGAGUUUGUAACACCCGAAGUCGGUGAGGUANCCUUUUAGGA
Molecule: ribosomal RNA, 838 nt
Filed under: uncultured bacterium
Lineage: Bacteria
Description: bacterial SSU rRNA
Rfam family: Bacterial small subunit ribosomal RNA
Source: RNAcentral